RNAcentral lists this ribosomal RNA (116 nucleotides) under Pteropus alecto (black flying fox). The record is from RNAcentral. Lineage: Eukaryota; Metazoa; Chordata; Mammalia; Chiroptera; Pteropodidae.
GUCUGCGGCCAUGCCACCCUGAACAAGCCCGAUGUCUGAUCUCGGAAGCUAAGCAGGGUCAGGCCUGCUUAAUACUUGGAUGGGAGACCACUUGGGAAGACCAGGUGCUGUAGGCA